ACGGGUUAGCCUCCAGGCGAGACGGGUAGCCGGCCUGAGAGGGCGACCGGCCACACUGGGACUGAGACACGGCCCAGACUCCUACGGGAGGCAGCAGUGGGGAAUAUUGCACAAUGGGCGAAAGCCUGAUGCAGCGACGCCGCGUGAGGGAUGACGGCCUUCGGGUUGUAAACCUCUUUCAGCAGGGAAGAAGCGCAAGUGACGGUACCUGCAGAAGAAGCGCCGGCUAACUACGUGCCAGCAGCCGCGGUAAUACGUAGGGCGCAAGCGUUGUCCGGAAUUAUUGGGCGUAAAGAGCUCGUAGGCGGCUUGUCACGUCGGAUGUGAAAGCCCGGGGCUUAACCCCGGGUCUGCAUUCGAUACGGGCUAGCUAGAGUGUGGUAGGGGAGAUCGGAAUUCCUGGUGUAGCGGUGAAAUGCGCAGAUAUCAGGAGGAACACCGGUGGCGAAGGCGGAUCUCUGGGCCAUUACUGACGCUGAGGAGCGAAAGCGUGGGGAGCGAACAGGAUUAGAUACCCUGGUAGUCCACGCCGUAAACGUUGGGAACUAGGUGUUGGCGACAUUCCACGUCGUCGGUGCCGCAGCUAACGCAUUAAGUUCCCCGCCUGGGGAGUACGGA
RNAcentral lists this ribosomal RNA (618 nucleotides) under Streptomyces griseus. RNAcentral describes it as "bacterial SSU rRNA". It matches the Rfam family "Bacterial small subunit ribosomal RNA", at positions 253 to 886 of the family's 1533-position model. RNAcentral also lists the same sequence under 1 other name. The record is from RNAcentral. Lineage: Bacteria; Bacillati; Actinomycetota; Actinomycetes; Kitasatosporales; Streptomycetaceae.